GUACCCGUAGCUCAGUUGGAUAGAGCGCUUGACUACGGAUCAAGAGGUCGAGGGUUCAAAUCCUUCCGGGUACGCCA
RNAcentral lists this transfer RNA (77 nucleotides) under Clostridiales bacterium. RNAcentral's name for it is "tRNA-Arg". It matches the Rfam family "tRNA". Rfam says of the family: Transfer RNA (tRNA) molecules are approximately 80 nucleotides in length. Their secondary structure includes four short double-helical elements and three loops (D, anti-codon, and T loops). The record is from RNAcentral. RNAcentral also lists the same sequence under 1 other name. Lineage: Bacteria; Bacillati; Bacillota; Clostridia; Eubacteriales.